CACUCUCUGGUGUGUUUGCCAGUCGGUCAUGUCCCUGAGCCGAUAAGCAACACCACGGGGGUCGCUCGCUGGGCUUGUGUGCAUGUCCGCACGCCGGAAAGCCUAAUGGCCCACGACUUCUCCCACCUUGAACUCUCGGGUUCAAGGGCUACACCGGCAGCGGCAUUCCGGGGAGCUA
Pseudomonas sp. HPB0071 is the source of this 178-nucleotide non-coding RNA. It matches the Rfam family "6S / SsrS RNA". Rfam says of the family: E. coli 6S RNA was the first non coding RNA to be sequenced, but its function was unknown until recently. It consists of 184 nucleotides that fold into an extended hairpin structure with a large single-stranded internal bulge. The 6S RNA specifically associates with RNA polymerase holoenzyme containing the sigma70 specificity factor. Lineage: Bacteria; Pseudomonadati; Pseudomonadota; Gammaproteobacteria; Pseudomonadales; Pseudomonadaceae. The record is from Rfam.